Nerophis lumbriciformis (worm pipefish) is the source of this 892-nucleotide long non-coding RNA. RefSeq lists it as uncharacterized. Lineage: Eukaryota; Metazoa; Chordata; Actinopteri; Syngnathiformes; Syngnathidae. The record is from RefSeq and is a predicted model, not a curated record.
UAUCUGGGACGGAAGGCCUCUUGUGUGGCUUCCUUUUUAGUGCCCCAGGGAACAAAUGUGCCCAAUCGGGGGACUCCUGAGGAAGCAUCUCCUGAGGGGGCGUCUCCUGAGGAGGCGUCCGCUGCAAGGGUGAGUCCUCAUAGUCCACCAUAGGAGCCCCGGAAAGUGUGGGCCCCCGUGGUGAAAAUUCACCCUGUGGUGCCGUCUCAUCUGCCGUCUCAGGCUGGAGAGGGGACCAGUCGGGGGUCGCGGAAGAGUAACGAGGGGACAUCACCGAAGAAAGCCCCCGCUCCUGUUCUUCAUCCCGAAAGUCGAUCAGGAGAGGCGAGGAGGCCGUGGGUCCCCCUGGUGAUCCCAGAGGAAGCCUCCUGCGAGAUGCAGGAAUAAGCUGGGUGGGCGGAGCCUCGCCGAGGGUGUCCUGGGCAGGCCCGCUGUCCGUGGCCCGGGGCUGUGUCACCCUCUGCUCCUUGGGUGGUUCCGGUCGACGAGGAAGGAAGAUCGGGGCAACCCGUGCUGGAGGGAUUGCAUCCCGAUCCACCUCAGGAGACCAAUCUGGAGCCACGGCGUCGGUGCUGGUAGCCACCGAGACCCGGGCGACGACCCGAGCCGGAGGGCUGCUAGCCCGUACCACCCCAGGAGCCCCGUCAGGGCCCGUAGGGUCAGUAUGGGUGCCCACCGAUACCCGGGUGGCGGUCUGGACCGGCAAGGACUGGGCCGGGCGUACCACCUCCGCGUUGACAGGGGGGUCGGCGAAGGCCGCGACGAUCAGAGCCUCGGCCUUCCCGAGGGUGUCCCCCAUCAGUCUGCGUCCCAGAUGUUUCUUGGCCCAUGUAGAGGCCAGCUGAAAAGCGGGUCUCCAAACCUCGUCAAUAAAACUGGUUAUCUUGUCCAA